GACGAACGCUGGCGGCGUGCUUAACACAUGCAAGUCGAACGGUGAAGCGCCUUCCUUUUUGGUGGGUGUGGAUGAGUGGCGAACGGGUGAGUAACACGUGAGUAACCUGCCCCCUUCUUCUGGAUAACCGCAUGAAAGUGUGGCUAAUACGGGAUAUUCUGGGUCUGUCGCAUGAUGGGUCUGGGAAAGAUAUUGUUUCGGUGGGGGAUGGGCUCGCGGCCUAUCAGCUUGUUGGUGGGGUGAUGGCCUACGAAGGCGGUGACGGGUAGCCGGCCUGAGAGGGUGGACGGUCACACUGGGACUGAGACACGGCCCAGACUCCUACGGGAGGCAGCAGUGGGGAAUAUUGCACAAUGGGCGCAAGCCUGAUGCAGCGACGCCGCGUGAGGGAUGGAGGCCUUCGGGUUGUGAACCUCUUUCGCCAGUGAAGCAGGCCUGCCUCGUUUGUGGGUGGGUUGACGGUAGCUGGAUAAGAAGCGCCGGCUAACUACGUG
RNAcentral lists this ribosomal RNA (494 nucleotides) under uncultured bacterium. RNAcentral's name for it is "partial 16S ribosomal RNA". It matches the Rfam family "Bacterial small subunit ribosomal RNA", at positions 28 to 507 of the family's 1533-position model. The record is from RNAcentral.